Molecule: ribosomal RNA, 626 nt
Filed under: uncultured bacterium
Lineage: Bacteria
Description: bacterial SSU rRNA
Rfam family: Bacterial small subunit ribosomal RNA
Source: RNAcentral
AGUGAUUACUCCUACGGGAGGCAGCAGUGGGGAAUAUUGGACAAUGGGGGGAUCCCUGAUCCAGCCAUGCCGCGUGUGUGAAGAAGGCCUUAUGGUUGUAAAGCACUUUAAGCGAGGAGGAGGCUACUGAGACUAAUACUCUUGGAUAGUGGACGUUACUCGCAGAAUAAGCACCGGCUAACUCUGUGCCAGCAGCCGCGGUAAUACAGAGGGUGCGAGCGUUAAUCGGAUUUACUGGGCGUAAAGCGUGCGUAGGCGGCUUUUUAAGUCGGAUGUGAAAUCCCCGAGCUUAACUUGGGAAUUGCAUUCGAUACUGGGAAGCUAGAGUAUGGGAGAGGAUGGUAGAAUUCCAGGUGUAGCGGUGAAAUGCGUAGAGAUCUGGAGGAAUACCGAUGGCGAAGGCAGCCAUCUGGCCUAAUACUGACGCUGAGGUACGAAAGCAUGGGGAGCAAACAGGAUUAGAUACCCUGGUAGUCCAUGCCGUAAACGAUGUCUACUAGCCGUUGGGGCCUUUGAGGUUUUAGUGGCGCAGCUAACGCGAUAAGUAGACCGCCUGGGGAGUACGGUCGCAAGACUAAAACUCAAAUGAAUUGACGGGGGCCCGCACAAGCGGUGGAGCAUGUGGA